This 2526-nucleotide ribosomal RNA is filed under the name Triticum aestivum (bread wheat). RNAcentral describes it as "partial small subunit ribosomal RNA". The record is from RNAcentral. Lineage: Eukaryota; Viridiplantae; Streptophyta; Magnoliopsida; Poales; Poaceae.
AUGGAGGAAUCCUUCACGGCCCCCUCCGUCGACCCACCCGCCGUCGAUCCCGCCUCCGUCGACUCCCCCGCCGUCGAUCCGGCCUCCGUUGACUCCCCCGCCGNNNNNNNNNNNNNNNNNNNNNNNNNNNNNNNNNNNNNNNNCUUCUACCCCCCCGCAGUCGACCCCGCCGUCGCCAACCCAUCCCGCUACCCCUCCUGGGUCCUCCUCGACAGCAGAGCCUACUUCGCCGACCGCGUCAACGCCACCACCGUGAAGGCCACGACGAGCACGGGCCACGAAUUCAAGGUCACCUUUUGUCUCGCCGACCCGCCCGCCGUCUCCUACUUCUGCGUCUACUGCCCCGAAGGUUGUUACACCACGGAGCCCCGCGUCGUCUCCUCCGCCAAUGACCUCGUCCUCCUCUGCUUCGCCUUCAGCUCCGGCCCACGGAGCACAGAAAAAGACUCCCAUCUCGAGUACUUUGUCUACAAGGCUGCCUCCGGCGGCAAGCCCACCAUCAGAUCUGUUCCGUGUCCCCCUCGAGCCUACAGGCACUCAUGGCACGCUGCCAUCGUGCCCGUCAAGGGCGACAAUUUCUUGGUCGCUGAUCUUUCCCCCAAUGGGGACCCUGGGCACUACAACCUGCACAUCUUCUCGUCGGAGACAAAUGAGUGGAGCACCAAACACGUGCAGCUGCAGACCGACCCGCAUGUCCUGCCACUGGAGCUGCCAAUCCUAACUGACAAGGUGAUCUUGCUCGGAAGAAGCACGGUAGGAUGGGUCGACCUCUGGCGCGGCAUUGUCGUCUGCAAUUUGCUUGAAAAGGAGCCUGUUCCCCGUUUCAUCCCGCUGCCCAAGGCCGAAUUCGACCUGCACCGGAAAAGCCAAGCACGGCAAGUGCGGGACGUCAUUGGCUUCACCGAUGGUUACAUCAACUUCAUUGAGAUUGAACACUGUGUCAGAUGGUUCCCCGUUGUCAGAAAGAGCAAUUUGAAGACGGCCAUGACUUUUGAUGUUGCAGAUACCAUCGAUGAUGCAGAGCUCCUCAGUCUUGAUGAUAUGGACGACGUUACAGAUGACAAACCUGUGCAGCAUGUACCCGCUGGCUGGAAGAUCCGGACAAUGUUUAGGAACAUUGAUUGGAACUAUUGGGAAAGUAGUCACAUUCUUCAUGUUGACGACAUAUCAGCCUCCCCACCUGAACCCUCUGUGCUGCAAUCUCAUCUAUGGAAUGAUACAGACAAGAAAUGGACAUUGGGAAAACUGAAGUGUACAAGCUUCCCGACCUUUGGUUUUUACGGCGGUGAUGUUGUCUACCUCGUGUCUAAGGUGGAGUCUCAGGAUAAUGAUGCAUUGCUUGUUGGUGUUGAUAUUCGAAAAAUGAAGGUGGAAUCCAUCAAAGCAUAUGGCUGCGGGAGAUCCAUUUCUUUUGGUCCCAUUCCGGUUGUUCGUUUUAAAAUUGGAAGGAAGCAGGAAGUCAUCGAACCAUCUUGUGGCGGGAGAUCCACUUCUUUUGAUGCCAUUUCAUGUGCAUUCUCAAAAUAUCUGAAUACCGCUCCAAGUCCAAGGCCGUGUAAUGGGGAAGCUGCUCAGAAUGGUGUGCUGAAUGAUCAUCUUUCAUCGAGGGAUACUGUUCCAAACAGUGUGCAGCCCCAGCAAAACAUGUGGAAUGAUGGUGGCUGCAAUGGGGGUUGGAGUGAAUAUGGUUAUAGCGUGUAGCACCCAUCCAGUUUGACACAAACUGGGCAGCCCAUGUUGUCUUCAAUUUCAACUCGAUUAGGUUCUGAGGCAUCAUCUUGUGGAGGACUCAUGUUAAGAUCAAUCCCAAACAUCAUUGCGGCGGUGGAGCACUUGCUCAGCAGCAACAACAGAGGCGGGGGCGGGGAAUACCAGCAGCAACAGAGGCGAGGGCGGGCGCGACCGGAGGAGGGCCAGCACGGAGAGGAAGACCCUGGGCUUGGAGGAGAGGUUGAGCAGGGCCAACGCGGCGAUGAAGACCCUGGGCCAGAGCAGCGACGAAGACCCAGCGCCGCGACGGCGUCCAAAAUUGUCCGCGGCGACGGCGGCCAAGGCGGACCAAAUCGAGGACCUAGUCGUCGAUUUACUGCUUCUUGGCACGAUUCAGAGGGAGGUGACGAAGAGGAAGAACUUUAGGAGCAAUCCCGCUGCUCAGGUAGGCGAGGGCACACCCAUGGCGGCUGCGCAGCUGGGCGGCGGCGCAAGGCGCCUCCGUGAAGGUCCUGCGCGUCUCCUCCGCGACGACGCAGGUCGUCUCCUGCACAGGCGGCUGGGUCCUGCGACGCGCGGAGACUCUCUCUGGGUGCUCAGGAGAACGGGGAAGGAAGACGGGGGAUGGUGGCCGGAGCCGGCGACGCGCGAGCGAUGGUGGAGAAGUGAGGAAGGAGACGGGGGCGUUUUUCAAAUGAUUCAAAAGUAUAAGGACAUGUUUGCAAAAUGCAUAAUGUACAGCAGCCGCGACAUCUAAAUCCGAACGGAGGGAGUAUUACACUAUAUAAGUAUACAAGUACAGUAUACAAUACAAAU